Molecule: ribosomal RNA, 472 nt
Filed under: uncultured bacterium
Lineage: Bacteria
Description: bacterial SSU rRNA
Rfam family: Bacterial small subunit ribosomal RNA
Source: RNAcentral
GAUGAACGCUGGCGGCGUGCUUAACACAUGCAAGUCGAGCGGGCAAUUUAUCUAGCACUGAUUACUUCAAAUGGAAAUCAUAAGUGUAAUCAUGAAUUUCUACCUUUAAUAAAGAAAAAAGAAAUUCAUGUACGCAAAUAGUGAUAACACAUUUUAGUGAAGUGAUGAGUGCUGGAUAAAUUGCUAGCGGCGGACGGGUGCGUAACACGUGGGUAACCUGCCCCUAUCACUGGGAUAACACACUGAAAAGUGUGCUAAUACCAGAUAAUAUAAGCUUUUGGCAUCAUUAGCUUAUCAAAGAAUUUCGGAUAGGGAUGGGCCUGCGUCUGAUUAGCUAGUUGGUGAGGUAACGGCUCACCAAGGCAACGAUCAGUAGCCGACCUGAGAGGGUGAUCGGCCACACUGGAACUGAGACACGGUCCAGACUCCUACGGGAGGCAGCAGUGGGGAAUAUUGGUCAAUGGACGCAAGU